RNAcentral lists this unclassified non-coding RNA (227 nucleotides) under uncultured fungus. Its description in RNAcentral is "sequence contains ITS1, 5.8S rRNA gene". The stretch from base 179 to 227 matches the Rfam family "5.8S ribosomal RNA", at positions 1 to 49 of the family's 154-position model. Lineage: Eukaryota; Fungi. The record is from RNAcentral.
UUUCCGUAGGUGAACCUGCGGAGGGAUCAUUACUGAGUGAGGGCCUUCGGGCUCGACCUCCAACCCUUUGUGAACACAACUUGUUGCUUCGGGGGCGACCCUGCCGUCCGCGACUGAGCGCCCCCGGGGUCAAUCAAACACUGCAUUCUCUGCGUCGGAGUAUUAGUAAAUUAAACAAAACUUUCAACAACGGAUCUCUUGGUUCCAGCAUCGAUGAAGAACGCAGC